UUGACAUCCAGAGAACUUGGCAGAGAUGCCUUGGUGCCUUCGGGAACUCUGAGACAGGUGCUGCAUGGCUGUCGUCAGCUCGUGUUGUGAAAUGUUGGGUUAAGUCCGCAACGAGCGCAACCCCUAUCCUUUGUUGCCAGCGAUUCGGUCGGGAACUCAAAGGAGACUGCCGGUGAUAAACCGGAGGAAGGUGGGGAUGACGUCAAGUCAUCAUGGCCCUUACGAGUAGGGCUACACACGUGCUACAAUGGCGUAUACAAAGAGAAGCGACCUCGCGAGAGCAAGCGGACCUCAUAAAGUACGUCGUAGUCCGGAUUGGAGUCUGCAACUCGACUCCAUGAAGUCGGAAUCGCUAGUAAUCGUAGAUCAGAAUGCUACGGUGAAUACGUUCCCGGGCCUUGUACACACCGCCCGUCACACCAUGGGAGUGGGUUGCAAAAGAAGUAGAUAGCUUAACCUUCGGGAGGGCGUUUACCACUUUGUGAUUCAUGACUGGGGUGAAGUCGUAACAAGGUAGGCGUAGCGAG
RNAcentral lists this ribosomal RNA (527 nucleotides) under uncultured bacterium. RNAcentral's name for it is "bacterial SSU rRNA". It matches the Rfam family "Bacterial small subunit ribosomal RNA", at positions 981 to 1509 of the family's 1533-position model. The record is from RNAcentral.